UUUAGCCUGUUAGCUUGUAUUGAAGAAUUGAAUCUAAUAUACAGUUUGCGUUAAUGAUGUAAGCCAAAUAGAGCUCAUGUACUGUUCAGAAGUCGAAGUGUUUUGGAGGGAAAUUUUCGAUAGCCGACUGCUAAUCCACAGCUUCUGGUCUUCUCAAAAAAGUAUUUUCUCGAAGAGCUCAUUCUGACAGUGACAUUCUGAGAGUGACUCUCUCCCUCUCUCCCAGCGCUAAAAGAUGCUGGACAUGAACCGCAUGCGGCUGACCGUCAUUGAGUUUCACUGACCUGAGGAAUGGGAAAAAAAAUGCUAAUGAAAAUGAAGAGUGGAAAAAGAAACGUCUUUUUGCUCCAAUAAACUUUCCAAAGGAUCACCUGGGGCAGGGUGGAACAUACCCAGAGUACCUCGGUCACCUUUCACCUCUUUCCACAACUCCAGUCUGGACAGGUUUACAAGGACAUGGGCAGUCAAAAUAUAGGAGGCUCUUGACACACCCCCACUCAUGAAAAAGGAAAUAUAGCCUUAGCAUUAAUAUUCUAACAUUUAUCUUCCUGCCAGUUCUUGAAUGUUAUUUCCUGUAGUCAGCAUGCUAACUGGAGGGAUGACUCGGCACCAUCAGCGAAGAAAAAUGAAUAAUGCCAGUGCGGUUUUGUAAAUUUAAAUAACUGACCUACAAAAUCGUUGAGGUCAACUGGUCUGCAGAGCCUGGCAGUUAAUGCACAACUUGCUCCUUGAAGCCAUACUGAAAGCCUUAGAUUUGCAGAGUUUAAUGCAAAUCUUCACACUGUCUCUUUUCUCUCAUGGACACUGUUACACUUUCAGUCUGGAGUUUAACUGUUUGAUGUCAAGGCGAACUGAAAAAGAACAGCUUAAAUAUUAAGCCUAGCUGGUUUGGUGGACUUAUCUAGUCUCCACACCUGGUCUGUGGAUGGCUUGAGGAGGGAUUGGAUAAAGAUUGGCACUAGUUUGAAAAUCAGCGCAAACCAAGUCUGUCAGCUGUUGAGACCAGCUUAAACCAGCGAAGGUCACUAAACCAUCUUAGGCUGGCUUUAUC
Long non-coding RNA from Triplophysa dalaica, 1051 nucleotides. RefSeq lists it as uncharacterized. The record is from RefSeq and is a predicted model, not a curated record. The transcript has 4 exons. NCBI's taxonomy places the organism in Eukaryota, Metazoa, Chordata, Actinopteri, Cypriniformes, Nemacheilidae.